RNAcentral lists this small nucleolar RNA (130 nucleotides) under Dasypus novemcinctus (nine-banded armadillo). Its description in RNAcentral is "Small nucleolar RNA SNORA31 (ENSDNOG00000039683.1)". Lineage: Eukaryota; Metazoa; Chordata; Mammalia; Cingulata; Dasypodidae. The record is from RNAcentral.
ACGCGUCUCUGACAGAUCUGGAACAGUCAAUGCCUGCUGCUAAGGUUUCCACUAUAGAUGCAAGAAAAAGAAGGCACUCGCAUUUUCUGUUUGUCUGGUUGUGGCCAAGAUUGAAUGGGGGAACACAGGA